UGAGGACAUUAGUGUAUGACCGUGAAACUGUAUCUUUGGCAGAAGGGAGCAAGGCUUACCAGGUAUUCUCUCUGUUUGACCCCUGCAGAGGCUGGGUGGAGUUAUGAAGCCAUGAUUUCACCUCACAAAGCCUGGCCUUCUGGACUAGUUGGUGGCGGAGCAUGAUUCUGUGGAAGGCACCCCUGGGGAGUACACAUUUCCAGUAUAACUAGUCCAAAGGCCAGAUUCAUCCCUGAACUCAAUGAACAUCAGCAGUUAAUUCUAGGGAUAAAGCCUGCCCUUAGUUGGUGAAGUUGCACAGAAAUGUUUAAUGUAACACUGCCACUACAGUGCAAGAAAUGAACAGGAAAAAUCAGCAAUUAGAUGAUGCCAGCAAACCAAAACACGUCAAGAUACAGCAGUCAUUUCUUCAGGACAGGGUAAAAAGAACAUGAGCUGGUUGGAUUCUAGCAGACUACAUUUCAGAGGGAAAACAAUUCCACCAGGAGGGCAGGAACAGCACCCCAGAGACAGCAAAUGAAAAAGGACCCUGGAGAACCUGCUAAUUCGCAUGGACAGAAGAAUCCAGGAACAGUUUGAUUUCCUCAGGGCACAGGAGGAUCAUACUUUUCAGCAGGAAAAAGCACUGAUGAACUGGUUCCUGGAGCAGGAGACAUGCCUCGGGUACUGGGACUAUGCCCAGAGGGAAUGGGAAUUUGCCCAAAGGGAACUGGAUCAUGUAUUGAUACAAUCAUGUAUUCAGCUGGUGGUGGAACACAUUCAGGGCUCACCUGCCGUCAUAGCUGCAGCCCCUCUUUCAGAACUUCACCACCUCCUUUUGCUUCUCCUCCUCCCCACCCCCAUCUCCGGUUGCUUCUCAGGGUGUUGUUGCUCAGAGAAUCCAACCCCAACUAGUGACAGGAAGGAGUCUGCUGAAGAACGGGCAGAACACCAGCUGCUAGCACCUGAAACCCCUUGCAGAGGAAACCACCAUAGCAUGCAGGUAGGGGAAGAUGAGCCCAUGGUUGUCCACCAAGCCCAGUAAGUGUCCGGUUCCCAAACCCCACACAGGAGAAAUCCCUGUUUGUCCCGCUGAGCAAUUUUCCACAGCAAUUCCCCAGGUGGUGGGCAAGGAGUUGGGUUUAGAAACAAUAAAAUGUACACAUUGCUCAA
This is a long non-coding RNA of Mauremys reevesii (Reeves's turtle), 1152 nucleotides long. RefSeq lists it as uncharacterized. Lineage: Eukaryota; Metazoa; Chordata; Testudines; Geoemydidae. The transcript is spliced from 5 exons. The record is from RefSeq and is a predicted model, not a curated record.